Long non-coding RNA from Lynx canadensis (Canada lynx), 3090 nucleotides. RefSeq lists it as uncharacterized. The record is from RefSeq and is a predicted model, not a curated record. NCBI's taxonomy places the organism in Eukaryota, Metazoa, Chordata, Mammalia, Carnivora, Felidae. The transcript has 2 exons.
GCUGAAGGAGAGAUUUCAGAGGAUGCAGGUGUCGGAGGAGGUGGUGAGAGAAGGAACAACAGCCUCCAGGAUGCCCCAAGAUAUACAGGAAGAAGCUGUACUCUCGGUGCUUUUGUGACAUUUCCACCCACCUGACUGGAAAGGGAGCAGGAGUUACCUUUACAUUGAGGGGCUGCAGGAGACCAGCCUGAAGAACUGCAAGAGAGUCGAGCUUCACCAACCAGAGUGUAUCCUUUGUCACAUUUAUAUAUCGCCUCCGUACGACUGAAUAUACCGAAUGCUUGAUGUCGUUCAUACUGUCCAUGGUCAAUGGUAGGAGGGAAAUCACAGCCUCGAUGGUGAGAGACAAAAGUGACAGAGUAUGAGCUUGUAGAAUGUAAAAUAUAGCUCACCCCAGAAUCUGCGUGGUUUGUAGGAGGCUUCCUUCUGUCCUGUGAUCUUCUCUGCCCAUGGGAUCAAGUGUCAAACCCAAGACCUGGGCUGCCCCCUUGUAAGUCUCAGGGUGAGGAACCACCAUGGCCCCCUCAUUAGACCAUUUGACAGUCAUAUCCAAUAUCUUCAAAAGUAUAAUGGGAAUAAACAAAACCAAUGCUAGGUCCAAACUCCAUAUUGAGUUCUUGGUCUAUGGGGUAAGACUAGUCAUAUCCAAGAAGUCAAAUAGAAGCCAUUGAUUUCCCUAUUGUCUUCCCCAGGAAGGUGAGAUACUAUAUUAAAAAAAUACAUCAUAUGCCAAGGGGAAAGUGGAAUGGGAAAAUUGGUGCCACUCUUGAAGAACAAAAGCUACGUUCCCAUCAUAUCGCCGUUUAUUUCCCCAAUCUGUCCACCAGGAAAACUAGGAUUCUGGGAAAUUACAGUAAAGUAUUGAAAACUGAACAUUUUAGUCUCAUUUCACAUGGGGUAUCUUUGCUAAAGUAAAUUUAGUUAUCCUCAGGUAAAUGGGGUCACUGGUUUAGCUAAUGCCUUCUUUUCAUCCUAAUCGGAAAGAAGGGGUCAGAAACAGUUUGCAUACACAUGGAAAGAUCAAAUCACACAUUUGUAGUUUUAGACCUGGGUAUGAUUAGUCACUUACCCCUGUCAUAAUAGCAUCUGAAGAUACUACAACUAUCUGCACAUCCACAUUGAUCCAGUAUAUCAAUGGCAUCAUGUUAAUUCUACUGUAUGGGCAAGAAGAAGCUAAUGUGUAGAUAGAUAGAUAGGUAAAUAGAUAAGAGAGAGAGAGAGAGAGAGAGAGAGAGAGAGAGAGACCUGUCCCAGUUCCUGGUGCAGACCCCUAAACGCUUGUAAAUUGCUAAGUGCUGAGAACCCUAAGAACAUCUUUUGUUCUACUGAGGCAACUUUCAGUGGCUCCUGGAUGGGAACCAGUCACCAGAAAGACCAAGCCAUGAAUAAAGCAUGGAAUUUUUCAGCCCCACUCUCCUCUCCAAAGGAGGGGGAAACAGCGUCAAUAAUUGAUCAUGCUACAGAGGGUAAGCCUCCAUAAAAUCUUAGGAGUACAUGGUUUGGAAAGCUGCCAGGUGGGUGAACGCAUCCACGUCCUGAGAAAGUGAUGGAUCGCAAUUCACAGGGACUGAGGCUCCUGUGCUUGGGAUCCUUCCAGACUUCACCCUAUAUAUCCCUUAAUUUGGCUGUUCAUUGUAUCCUUUGUCAGAUCCUUUAAUAAACUGGUUAAUACAAAAGUGUUUCCCUGAGUUCUGUGAGCCACUCUGGCAAAUGAAUGGAAAUCAAGAAGGAAGUCAUGGGAACCUCCAGUUUGUAGCCAAGUUGGACAGAUUUUGGUGGUAACCUGGGGACCCACUACCCACAUUUGAGAUCUGAAGUCAGGAGGGGCGGGGAAGUUUUGUGAGACUGAGUCUUUAAGGUGUAGCAUGUGAUACAAUCUCCAGGUCCAUACUGUUGGAACUGAGUAAAUUACAGGGCAUCCAGAUGGUGUUGUGGAGAAUUCUUUGUGUCAGAAAAAAAAAAAAAAAACCACACGUUUGGUCACCAGAAAUGCUGUGAGUGUUCUGCGUGAGUAGUAAAAGGGACACACAAGGGAGACAGGAGGUGAAGGGAAAGACUGGGCUUUUCCAUCCUUCGUAAUGGUGCUCCAGCAUAUAGAAGGUAAAGAUUCAAGGGUUUGCCAGAUCAAUGCAAUAUUUAGAGGUCCAGGGUACACGGCUUGUUAGGCUAUCCCUCCAAACUAAAGUCGAACUAUUAUAAAUGGCACACCACACCAAGGAAAAAAAGAUGCACAACAUAUAAUAGAACUUUCCCGUUUCCAGAGGCAGGAUCUUCCAUACGUGGGAAUACGAUUCCAGCCCAUGAGCUAGAUGACAUAAAACAUAGCUGGGUUUGUGUGCAGCCCAUGUUGGGAUACGGCUCGGCAGCUAGUUCACUGUCAGUGAAAUCGUCCUGUUGCUUGGACCUUAGGACCCUGCAGAGCCUCGUAUAUUGAAGGUGGCUCUAGUCGGAAAACAUGCAAAUGUCAAUGGCAUGAUCACAGCAUAGACCCUUGAGAUCCUGAAGCAAGGCCAUGCACUGCUGCAGAGAAUUAUGUGCUGUUAGAGACAUAACUCUUGGCAUGUUAUUUGGUCCUGAUAGGAACCGUGCCUGACAUUGGGUCAUGAAGUGAGCAUGUGCCAAAAUCACUCUUCAUGAGCUUGGUCUCUCAGAACCAACAAGUUACAAGGCCAGGCAGGGAGCAAACCGUUCGUUUAUAAAGUGGAAGUCAUCAUCUGGGAUUGAGCAUGAGCAGGACCCGAUGGCACAACAUCUGGCACAAAGAGGCUGCCCGGAUCCUACCUGUGCCCAUCCACCAUUGCCCAAGUGCCUCUUUAGCUCGCGCUUAUGGCUAUGUGGGAGGUAUCCAUGAUAACCAAUUGACAGAACAGAGGAAACCCGAGCCUGGUUCAUAGGUGUAUAUUUGGGGUAUGUGUGUGCAAGCUAAAUGGAUGAACACAAAAGGAAAGGAGGAAGUUUGAGGAAGAAAGGAAGCAAAUUUAGACAGAUGGUUUCAAACAGGUUUGAGUGGGUAUUGAACUGCAGAUUAAGGCAUAUGGAUCAGAAAGAAGUCAAGAAAAGACAAAAAUACCAAGAGAAACAAGGCAAUAA